Molecule: non-coding RNA, 461 nt
Organism: Phascolarctos cinereus (koala)
Lineage: Eukaryota; Metazoa; Chordata; Mammalia; Diprotodontia; Phascolarctidae
Source: RefSeq, a predicted model, not a curated record
UGCAGACCCAGGAGGAGGCAUUUGUUGCAUCCUUUUGCCCAUCAUAAUGGAAGCUCCUUGGAGACAGGCUCCACGUUCUAGUGAUUGCACCGCCUAGCAGGUUAAGCUGAGAUAAGGAACCCAGGAUGCAGAGUUUAAAUGACUCAUUUCAAGUUACAUGCUGGUAGAGCUGCGAUUAUGCAGAGGAAGCUCAGUGAAAGAGCUGAGCUCUGAAGCUACAGUCAUACCCACACACCAGGCCCAAGCCCUGGAUUUGUUCCCCCUGUGGGUUCAGCUGAUUUCAUAAGAAUGCUAAUCGUCACCUAACACCAACAGACGUCCUCUCUGGAACCGGCUCACUUGAAGACCCUGUGAUGCAUUUCUGCAAGGCUUUCUUUUAUUCCUGGUCUCCACCAACCCUGCCCUGGAUAGCCAGAUCCAAGGGAAGCAGUGAGACAGAAAGGCAGCAAAAACUAGAAUUA